RNAcentral lists this ribosomal RNA (469 nucleotides) under uncultured organism. RNAcentral's name for it is "bacterial SSU rRNA". It matches the Rfam family "Bacterial small subunit ribosomal RNA", at positions 28 to 507 of the family's 1533-position model. The record is from RNAcentral.
GACGAACGCUGGCGGCGUGCUUAACACAUGCAAGUCGAACGAGGUCCAUGGAGUAGCAAUACUCUUGAAGACCUAGUGGCGAACGGGUGCGUAACACGUGAGGAACUUGUCCCGGUCUCUGGGAUAACAGUUGGAAACGACUGCUAAUACCGGAUGACGUCGGAGCAUCGCAUGGUGCGCUGACGAAAGGGUUACCGGAUCGGGAGAGCCUCGCGGCCUAUCAGCUUGUUGGCGGGGUAACGGCCCACCAAGGCAUCGACGGGUAGCUGGUCUGAGAGGAUGAUCAGCCACACUGGGACUGAGACACGGCCCAGACUCCUACGGGAGGCAGCAGUGGGGAAUCUUGCGCAAUGGGCGAAAGCCUGACGCAGCAACGCCGCGUGCGGGAAGAAGGCUCUCGGGUUGUAAACCGCUUUCAGCAGGAACGAAAAUGACGGUACUUGCAGAAGAAGGUGCGGCCAACUACGUG